GAUGAACGCUGGCGGCGUGCCUAAUACAUGCAAGUCGAGCGAACAGACGAGGAGCUUGCUCCUCUGACGUUAGCGGCGGACGGGUGAGUAACACGUGGAUAACCUACCUAUAAGACUGGGAUAACUUCGGGAAACCGGAGCUAAUACCGGAUAAUAUAUUGAACCGCAUGGUUCAAUAGUGAAAGACGGUUUUGCUGUCACUUAUAGAUGGAUCCGCGCCGCAUUAGCUAGUUGGUAAGGUAACGGCUUACCAAGGCAACGAUGCGUAGCCGACCUGAGAGGGGGAUCGGCCACACUGGAACUGAGACACGGUCCAGGCUCCUACGGGAGGCAGCAGUAGGGAAUCUUCCGCAAUGGGCGAAAGCCUGACGGAGCAACGCCGCGUGAGUGAUGAAGGUCUUCGGAUCGUAAAACUCUGUUAUUAGGGAAGAACAAAUGUGUAAGUAACUAGGCACGUCUUGACGGUACCUAAUCAGAAAGCCACGGCUAACUACGUG
Molecule: ribosomal RNA, 497 nt
Filed under: uncultured bacterium
Lineage: Bacteria
Description: partial 16S ribosomal RNA
Rfam family: Bacterial small subunit ribosomal RNA
Source: RNAcentral